RNAcentral lists this unclassified non-coding RNA (2104 nucleotides) under Apis florea (little honeybee). Its description in RNAcentral is "pDF receptor, transcript variant X7". The record is from RNAcentral. Lineage: Eukaryota; Metazoa; Arthropoda; Insecta; Hymenoptera; Apidae.
UGAAAUCUCCACAAGAUGGAUUCGAAAUUCAUUUAAAAAUGAUCAAUAUAAGAUGUUAGAAACAAUGAAAACGAAUAUCUUGCAAUCCUAGUCGAAUUUUGAUUUAUUAUUUUAUACCCAUUUUUUCUGUCGCGAUCGAUUAUAACAUGGAAAGAAAGUAACGAGUGUAAUAGCGACAAUAAAAUUAUUCUGGCCUCUGAUAAAGCGAGCACAGGUACAAAGAGGCAACUCGAAGCAGUCCACCAGCACAGAAAUUUCUUUCUUCUUUGUUCUCCGUCUCUCCGCUCGAGAUAAAGCAUUCAACCCAGCCAGAAUUCAGCUCGUAGAGAUAUAGGAAACAGAAACGGUUUGGUUGCGGGGAAAUCCCGGGAUUGAAAUUCGAUUACGUCACCUGGCGAGAAAAAGAAAUUGGCAAAGUGAAGAAAUAAAGAGAGAGGAGAAAAAUGAGAUACGCGUUAUUUACGUGUGAUUUAUCGAACUUGUGACGAGUAAGAAGGAUGCAGAGGAAGUAAAAAUGGAUAAUUAAAAGAAAUAUGGACGUCGCCAAUGCAAUUAAAAAUAACACGCCGGAUUUCUGCAGCGCGAGAUAUAAGAAUUUAAUGCCUGUGGAAGGUGAGUUGUGGUGCGAGCCGGUCUGGGACUCGUUACUCUGUUGGCCGCCGACCAAAGCUUCCACUACAGCCAAACAGAGAUGCCCGUACGAAGAUGGAUUUGAUACAACCAAAUCUGUGGAGAAGAAAUGUGGAUAUAAUGGCCGUUGGGAGGGUCAGAACGGGACAAACAACGAUUCUCCUCAUGGAUGGGCAAACUACACGACUUGUAUGACACCGGAAAUGCUUCGAUUACAUGGAAAAGUUUACACUAAUGCUAUCGAGGGUAACAUGAAACUGGACAUUGCUGAGAAAACUCGUACUUUAGAGUUCGUGGGUUUAAGCAUCUCUUUAGUAGCAUUAUUUGCUUCACUCGCCAUAUUCUGUCGUUUUAGGUCCCUGAGAAAUACUAGAACCAGGAUACAUAAGAACUUAUUCGUUGCCAUGGUCGUCCAGGUUCUGAUUAGAUUAACGAUCUACAUAGAUAUCGAAAUCUUGAGGAAGAAAACUUAUGGCAUUCAACGAGGCAUAGGAAACACCCCUGUACUUUGUGAAGCCAGUUACGCACUUUUGGAAUAUGCCAAAACUGCAAUGUUCAUGUGGAUGUUUAUAGAGGGACUGUUCCUUCACAACAUGGUCACUGUAACAGUGUUUCAAGAAAACUCUUACUAUAGGAUGUAUAGGUUCAUUGGAUGGGGUUGUCCUGUCAUGAUGACGCUAAUUUGGGCGAUCAUUACCGCGUUUUAUUAUCAUCCAAAAUCAAAAUUUUCCAGAUGUUGGUCUGGAUAUAAUUUGUCUUCCUAUUUUUGGAUCCUAGAGGGACCCAGAUUUGCAGUAAUAUUGCUCAAUUUUCUGUUCUUGUUGAACAUUGUCAGAGUGCUCGUAGUGAAACUUCGACAAAGUCAUACUAGUGAAAUCGAGCAAGUCCUAAAAGCUGUGAGAGCAGCUGUAGUGCUUUUACCAUUAUUGGGUAUUACUAACGUGCUCUUUAUGAUCGAAGCACCUUUGCACAAUGUAAGAAAGUUCGCGUUAUGGUCAUAUUCUACGCAUUUUCUUCAAUCUUUUCAAGGACUCUUCAUUGCAACUCUUUACUGUUUUCUAAAUGGCGAGGUAAGACUUGCUCUGGACAAGACUAUUUCCGUAUAUCUUUCUUUAAGAGGAACUGAUUUGCAAGCGAGAAGACAGUCAACAUUCAGUGGUUGCCAACCCCAAAGAAUUGCGUCUGUGAUCGAGAUGGAGGAAGAAGAGAUGAGAUCCAGCGGAUGGAUAAGAUUAUGCUGUCGAGGUGGAAACACUCCACCACCGGACCGACCUGCCGAGUGAGUAAUGAUCAUGGAACAAUCGCCCGCAUUUAGAUCAUUACCAGCAUCGACGGUCGAUCCUUCUCGCAACAUCAUACUAGUAGCUGUUUGACCAGAGCCUUUUUGGACUCCUCAAUCUUGGACAGAAGUUUCCAAAUUCCCCUCAGAUCAUGAAGAUGGGCUAUGAAUUUUUUUUAGAUAAUGAAGAUAUUU